Molecule: small nuclear RNA, 104 nt
Organism: Heterocephalus glaber (naked mole-rat)
Lineage: Eukaryota; Metazoa; Chordata; Mammalia; Rodentia; Bathyergidae
Source: Ensembl
GUGCUCCCUUUGGCAGCACAUACACUAAAAUUGGAACGAUACAGAGAUUAGCAUGGCCCCUGAGCAAGGAUGACAUGCAAAUUUGUGAAGCGUUCCAUAUUUUU